AAAAAAGGUAAGCUACUAAGAGCGAAUGGUGGAUGCCUUGACUGGUAAAGGCGAUGAAGGACGUACUAGACUGCGAUAAGCUACGGGGAGCUGUCAAGAAGCUUUGAUCCGUAGAUUUCCGAAUGGGGCAACCCAAUGUAUAGAGAUAUACAUUACCUAUAUAGGAGCGAACGAGGGGAAUUGAAACAUCUUAGUACCCUCAGGAAAAGAAAUCAAUAGAGAUUGCGUCAGUAGCGGCGAGCGAAAGCGCAAGAGGGCAAACCCAGUGCUUGCACUGGGGGUUGUAGGACUGCAAUGUGCAAGAGGUGAGUUUAGCAGAACAUUCUGGAAAGUAUAGCCAUAGAGGGUGAUAGUCCCGUAUGCGAAAAACAAACCUUAGCUAGCAGUAUCCUGAGUAGGGCGGGACACGAGGAAUCCUGUCUGAAUCCGGGUCGACCACGAUCCAACCCUAAAUACUAAUACCAGAUCGAUAGUGCACAAGUACCGUGAGGGAAAGGUGAAAAGAACUGAGGUGAUCAGAGUGAAAUAGAACCUGAAACCAUUUGCUUACAAUCAUUCAGAGCCCUAUGUAGCAAUACAGGGUGAUGGACUGCCUUUUGCAUAAUGAGCCUGCGAGUUGUGGUGUCUGGCAAGGUUAAGCAAACGCGAAGCCGUAGCGAAAGCGAGUCUGAAUAGGGCGCUUAGUCAGAUGCUGCAGACCCGAAACGAAGUGAUCUAUCCAUGAGCAAGUUGAAGCUAGUGUAAGAACUAGUGGAGGACUGAACCCAUAGGCGUUGAAAAGCCCCGGGAUGACUUGUGGAUAGGGGUGAAAGGCCAAUCAAACUUCGUGAUAGCUGGUUCUCUCCGAAAUAUAUUUAGGUAUAGCGUUGUGUCGUAAUAUAAGGGGGUAGAGCACUGAAUGGGCUAGGGCAUACACCAAUGUACCAAACCCUAUCAAACUCCGAAUACCUUAUAUGUAAUCACAGCAGUCAGGCGGCGAGUGAUAAAAUCCGUCGUCAAGAGGGAAACAACCCAGACUACCAGCUAAGGUCCCUAAAUCUUACUUAAGUGGAAAACGAUGUGAAGUUACUUAAACAACCAGGAGGUUGGCUUAGAAGCAGCCAUCCUUUAAAGAAAGCGUAAUAGCUCACUGGUCUAGUGAUUUUGCGCGGAAAAUAUAACGGGGCUAAAGUAAGUACCGAAGCUGUAGACUUGCGCACAACUUAGAUUAUUUAAGUUUAGAAUAUGAGAAACUAAGUUAUAUGUUUAGUUAUAUUUUUACUGAUUUUUAUAGAGUAAAGAUAGAAAUAAAACUUAGUAAAAUCAGUAAAAAUAUUCUUAGAUUAAAGUUAAGUAGUUUAAGUUGUGUGCAAGUGGUAGGAGAGCGUUCUAUUUGCGUCGAAGGUAUACCGGUAAGGAGUGCUGGAGCGAAUAGAAGUGAGCAUGCAGGCAUGAGUAGCGAUAAUUAAUGUGAGAAUCAUUAACGCCGUAAACCCAAGGUUUCCUACGCGAUGCUCGUCAUCGUAGGGUUAGUCGGGUCCUAAGUCGAGUCCGAAAGGGGUAGACGAUGGCAAAUUGGUUAAUAUUCCAAUACCAACAUUAGUGUGCGAUGGAAGGACGCUUAGGGCUAAGGGGGCUAGCGGAUGGAAGUGCUAGUCUAAGGUCGUAGGAGGUUAUACAGGCAAAUCCGUAUAACAAUACUCCGAGAACUGAAAGGCUUUUUGAAGUCUUCGGAUG
Molecule: ribosomal RNA, 1716 nt
Filed under: Campylobacter coli
Lineage: Bacteria; Pseudomonadati; Campylobacterota; Epsilonproteobacteria; Campylobacterales; Campylobacteraceae
Description: partial 23S ribosomal RNA
Rfam family: Bacterial large subunit ribosomal RNA
Source: RNAcentral